UACAGAGGUCUCAAGCGUUGUUCGGAUUCAUUGGGCGUAAAGGGUGCGUAGGCGGCGCGGUAAGUCGGGUGUGAAAUCUUGGAGCUUAACUCCGAAACUGCAUUCGAUACUGCCGUGCUUGAGGACUGGAGAGGAGACUGGAAUUUACGGUGUAGCGGUGAAAUGCGUAGAUAUCGUAAGGAACACCAGUGGCGAAGGCGGCUAUCUGGACGGUUUCUGACGCUAAGACGCGAAAGCGUGGGGAGCAAACAGG
This 253-nucleotide ribosomal RNA is filed under the name uncultured bacterium. Its description in RNAcentral is "partial 16S ribosomal RNA". It matches the Rfam family "Bacterial small subunit ribosomal RNA", at positions 524 to 776 of the family's 1533-position model. The record is from RNAcentral.